UACGGGGGGGGCAAGCGUUGUUCGGAAUUACUGGGCGUAAAGGGCUCGUAGGCGGCCAACUAAGUCAGACGUGAAAUCCCCAGGCUCAACCUGGGAACUGCGUCUGAUACUGGAUGGCUUGAAUUCGGGAGAGGGAUGCAGAAUUCCAGGUGUAGCGGUGAAAUGCGUAGAUAUCAGGAGGAACACCGGUGGCGAAGGCGGGUCUCUGGGCAGUAACUGACGCUGAGGAGCGAAAGCGUGGGGAGCGAACAGG
RNAcentral lists this ribosomal RNA (253 nucleotides) under uncultured bacterium. RNAcentral describes it as "partial 16S ribosomal RNA". It matches the Rfam family "Bacterial small subunit ribosomal RNA", at positions 524 to 776 of the family's 1533-position model. The record is from RNAcentral.